UGAACGCUAGCUACAGGCUUAACACAUGCAAGUCGAGGGGCAGCAGAUCGAAAGCUUGCUUUGAUGCUGGCGACCGGCGCACGGGUGAGUAACACGUAUCCAACCUUCCCUGUAGUAGAGAAUAGCCCGGCGAAAUCGGGAUUAAUGCUCUAUGUUGUAUUUUCGAUGACAUCUGAAGAAUACCAAAGGUUUACCGCUAUAGGAUGGGGAUGCGUCUGAUUAGGUUGUUGGCGGGGUAACGGCCCACCAAGCCCACGAUCAGUAGGGGUUCUGAGAGGAAGGUCCCCCACAUUGGAACUGAGACACGGUCCAAACUCCUACGGGAGGCAGCAGUGAGGAAUAUUGGUCAAUGGACGGAAGUCUGAACCAGCCCAAGUAGCGUGCAGGAUGACGGCCCUAUGGGUUGUAAACCGCUUUUAUAUAGGGAUAAAGUCGGGGACGUGUCCCCGUUUGUAGGUACUAUAAUGAGUAAGGACCGGCUAAUUCCGUGCCAGCCGCCGC
RNAcentral lists this ribosomal RNA (501 nucleotides) under uncultured bacterium. RNAcentral's name for it is "bacterial SSU rRNA". It matches the Rfam family "Bacterial small subunit ribosomal RNA", at positions 30 to 518 of the family's 1533-position model. The record is from RNAcentral.